GAGCGCCCCGCAAGGGGAGCGGCAGACGGGAGAGUAACACGUGGGAACGUACCCUUCAGUUCGGAACAACCCAGGGAAACUUGGGCUAAUACCGGAUAAGUCCGUAAGGAGAAAGAUUUAUCGCCAAAGGAUCGGCCCGCGUCUGAUUAGCUAGUUGGUGAGGUAACGGCUCACCAAGGCGACGAUCAGUAGCUGGUCUGAGAGGAUGAUCAGCCUCACUGGGACUGAGACACGGCCCAGACUCCUACGGGAGGCAGCAGUGGGGAAUAUUGGACAAUGGGCGCAAGCCUGAUCCAGCCAUGCCACGUGGAUGAUGAAGGCCCUAGGGUUGUAAAGUCCUUUCGGCGGGGAAGAUAAUGACGGUACCCGCAGAAGAAGCCCCGGCUAACUUCGUGCCAGCAGCCGCGGUAAUACGAAGGGGGCUAGCGUUGCUCGGAAUCACUGGGCGUAAAGCGCACGUAGGCGGCUUUCUAAGUCAGAGGUGAAAUCCUGGAGCUCAACUCCAGAACUGCCUUUGAUACUGGAGAGCUUGAGUCCGGAAGAGGUGAGUGGAACUGCCAGUGUAGAGGUGAAAUUCGUAGAUAUUCGCAAGAACACCAGUGGCGAAGGCGGCUCACUGGCCCGGUACUGACGCUGAGGUGCGAAAGCGUGGGGA
Molecule: ribosomal RNA, 655 nt
Filed under: uncultured forest soil bacterium
Lineage: Bacteria
Description: bacterial SSU rRNA
Rfam family: Bacterial small subunit ribosomal RNA
Source: RNAcentral